This 1367-nucleotide ribosomal RNA is filed under the name uncultured bacterium. Its description in RNAcentral is "16S ribosomal RNA". It matches the Rfam family "Bacterial small subunit ribosomal RNA". The record is from RNAcentral.
AGAGUUUGAUCCUGGCUCAGGACGAACGCUGGCGGCGCGCCUAACACAUGCAAGUCGAACGAGCGAGAGAGAGCUUGCUUUCUCAAGCGAGUGGCGAACGGGUGAGUAACGCGUGAGGAACCUGCCUCAAAGAGGGGGACAACAGUUGGAAACGACUGCUAAUACCGCAUAAGCCCACGGGUCGGCAUCGACCAGAGGGAAAAGGAGCAAUCCGCUUUGAGAUGGCCUCGCGUCCGAUUAGCUAGUUGGUGAGGUAAUGGCCCACCAAGGCGACGAUCGGUAGCCGGACUGAGAGGUUGAACGGCCACAUUGGGACUGAGACACGGCCCAGACUCCUACGGGAGGCAGCAGUGGGGAAUAUUGCACAAUGGGGGAAACCCUGAUGCAGCGACGCCGCGUGGAGGAAGAAGGUCUUCGGAUUGUAAACUCCUGUUGUUGAGGAAGAUAAUGACGGUACUCAACAAGGAAGUGACGGCUAACUACGUGCCAGCAGCCGCGGUAAAACGUAGGUCACAAGCGUUGUCCGGAAUUACUGGGUGUAAAGGGAGCGCAGGCGGGAAGACAAGUUGGAAGUGAAAUCUAUGGGCUCAACCCAUAAACUGCUUUCAAAACUGUUUUUCUUGAGUAGUGCAGAGUAGCCGGAAUUCCCGGUGUAGCGGUGGAAUGCGUAGAUAUCGGGAGGACACCAGUGGCGAAGGCGGCUACUGGGCACCAACUGACGCUGAGGCUCGAAAGUGUGGGUAGCAAACAGGAUUAGAUACCCUGGUAGUCCACACCGUAAACGAUGAUUACUAGGUGUUGGAGGAUUGACCCCUUCAGUGCCGCAGUUAACACAAUAAGUAAUCCACCUGGGGAGUACGACCGCAAGGUUGAAACUCAAAGGAAUUGACGGGGGCCCGCACAAGCAGUGGAGUAUGUGGUUUAAUUCGACGCAACGCGAAGAACCUUACCAAGUCUUGACAUCCUCUGACGAACGUAGAAAUACGUUUUCUCUUCGGAGCAGAGAGACAGGUGGUGCAUGGUUGUCGUCAGCUCGUGUCGUGAGAUGUUGGGUUAAGUCCCGCAACGAGCGCAACCCUUAUGGUCAGUUACUACGCAAGAGGACUCUGGCCAGACUGCCGUUGACAAAACGGAGGAAGGUGGGGAUGACGUCAAAUCAUCAUGCCCUUUAUGACUUGGGCUACACACGUACUACAAUGGCGUUAAACAAAGAGAAGCAAGACCGCGAGGUGGAGCAAAACUCAGAAACAACGUCCCAGUUCGGACUGCAGGCUGCAACUCGCCUGCACGAAGUCGGAAUUGCUAGUAAUCGCAGAUCAGCAUGCUGCGGUGAAUACGUUCCCGGGCCCCUUGUACACACCGCCCGU